GUCUGCAACUCGACUACAUGAAGCUGGAAUCGCUAGUAAUCGCAGAUCAGAAUGCUGCGGUGAAUACGUUCCCGGGUCUUGUACACACCGCCCGUCACACCAUGGGAGUCGGAAAUGCCCGAAGCCGGUGACCAAACCAAUAAGGAAGGAGCCGUCGAAGGCAGGUCUGAUAACUGGGGUGAAGUCGUAACAAGGUAAC
RNAcentral lists this ribosomal RNA (199 nucleotides) under uncultured bacterium. RNAcentral's name for it is "partial 16S ribosomal RNA". It matches the Rfam family "Bacterial small subunit ribosomal RNA", at positions 1303 to 1500 of the family's 1533-position model. The record is from RNAcentral.